UGGUGAGUAACGCGUGAGGAACCUGCCUUUCGGAGGGGGACAACAGUUGGAAACGACUGCUAAUACCGCAUGACGUAUCGGGGAUCGCAUGGUCUUGAUACCAAAGAUUUUAUCGCCGAAAGAUGGCCUCGCGUCUGAUUAGCUAGUUGGUGGGGCAACGGCCUACCAAGGCGACGAUCAGUAGCCGGACUGAGAGGUUGGCCGGCCACAUUGGGACUGAGAUACGGCCCAGACUCCUACGGAAGGCAGCAG
Molecule: ribosomal RNA, 252 nt
Filed under: uncultured bacterium
Lineage: Bacteria
Description: partial 16S ribosomal RNA
Rfam family: Bacterial small subunit ribosomal RNA
Source: RNAcentral